UCCUUGGAAUUGCCACUGGGAUCCUUGGAAGAGUUUCUGGGACGGUCAUGGUUCUGUUGGGAUCCUUGGGAAUGUCUUUGGGAUAUUUGGUGGUUCUGUUGAGAUCUUUGGUUGCUCCAUUGGAUUCCUUGGAAGAGUUUUUGGGAUCCUUGGAAUUGCCAUCAGGAUGCUUGGAAGUGCCAUCAGGAUGGUCGUGGUUCCAUGGGAAUCCUUGGGAAUGUCUUUGGGAUGCUUGGGGCUUCCAUUAGAACCCUUGGAAGAGUUGUUGGGAUUGUCAUGGUGUCAUUGGGAUCCUUGGAAUUGUCAUUGAAAUCCUUGGAAUUGCCUUUGGGAUCCUUGGAAUUGCCUUUGGGAUCCUUGGAAUGGCCUUUGGGAUCCUUGGAAUUGCCUUUGGGAUUCUUGGAAUGGCCUUUGGGAUCCUUGGUGGUUCGACUCAAAUCCUUGGAGUUGCCUUUGGAAUAUUUGGAAGCGCCAUUGGAAUCCUUGGAAGGGUGGUUGGGGUGGUCGCGGUUCCUUUGGGAUCCUUGGAAUUGCCAUUGGAAUCCUUGGCAUUGCCAUUGGGAUCCUUGGAAAAGCCAUUGGGAUCCUCGGAAUCGCCUUUGGAAUCUUCGGAAGAGCCCUUGGGAUUCUUGGAGGUUCCAUUGGAACCCUUGGAAGAGCUUUGAGAUCCUCGGAAUUGCCCCUGGGAUGCUCCAAGGUUCCACUGGAAUCCUUGGUGGUUCCAUUGGAUUCCUUGGAAGCGCCGUUGGGAUGGUCAUGGUUCCAUUGGGAUCUUUGGGAAUGUCUUUGGGAAUGUCUUGGUGGUUCCACUGGAACCCUUGGUGGUUCCAUUGGAUUCCUUGGAAUUGCCAUUGGAUUCCUUGGAAGGGUUGUUGGGAUGCUCGUGGUUCCCUUGGGAUCCUUGGGAAUGUCUUUGGGAUAUUUGGUGGUUCCAUUGGAACCCUUGGAAUUCCCAUUGGAUUCCUUGGAAUUGCCAUUGGAAUCCUUGGAAGGGUCGUUGGGAAAGUCACGGCUCCAUUGAGGUCCUUGGGAAUGUCCUGGGCACGUGUGGAAAUUCCCAUUGGAUUCCUUGGGAUUGCCGUUGGGAUCCUUGGAAUUGCCACUGGGAUUUUUGGUGGUUCCACUCAAAUCUUUGGAAUGGCCUUUGGAAUCCUUGGAGUUGCCAUUGGGAUCCUUGGGAAUGCCUUUGGGAUAUUUGGUGGUUCCGUUGGGAUUCCUGCUGGUUCCUUUGGAAUCCUUGGAAGAGUCGUUGGGAUGCUCACGGUUCCCUUGGGAUCCUUGGGAAUGUCUUUGGGACAUUUGGUGCUUCCAUUGGAACCCUUGGAAGAGCCCUUGGAAUUGCCAUUGGGAUCCUUGGGAAUGUCUUUGGGACAUUUGGUGCUUCCAUUGGGAUCUUUGGUGCUUCCACUGGAUUCCUUGGCAGAGGCCUUGGGAACUUUGGAAUUGCCACUGGAAUCCUUGGGAUCCUCCGUGGUUCCAUUGGGAUUCCCGGCAUUCCCGGCAUUCCCGUUCCUCCGCAGUCCGGCAGUUCCUGGAGAGCGGGAUCAGCCCCGACCUGUGCAACGAGGACGGGCUGACGGCGCUGCACCAGCUCCAUCCGUUCAUCCCAAAUCCCAGUGAUCCCAAAUCCCGGUGAUCCCAGAUCCUGGUGAUCCCAAAUCCAGGUCAUUCCCAUCCCAGAUCCCAGCGAUCCCAGAUCCCAAUGAUCCCAAAUCCAGGUCAUUCCCAUCCCAGAUUCAUCCAUUCAUCCCAAAUCCCAGUGAUCCCAAAUCCAGGUAAUUCCCAUCCCAGAUCCCAGUGAUCCCAAAUCCCAGUGAUCCCAGAUCCCAGCGAUCCCAAAUCCCAGUGAUCCCAAAUCCAGGUCAUUCCCAUCCCAAAUCCAUCCAUUCAUCCCAGAUCCCAGUGAUCCCAAAUCCAGGUCAUUCCCAUCCCAGAUCCAUCCAUUCAUCCCAAAUCCCAGUGAUCCCAAAUCCCAGUGAUCCCAAAUCCCAGUGAUCCCAAAUCCAGGUCAUUCCCAUCCCAAAUCCAUCCAUUUAUCCCAGAUCCCAAUGAUCCCAAAUCCAGGUCACUCCCAUCCCAGAUCCAUGUUUUUUCCACAUCCCAUUUCUGGUGAUCCCAAAUCCUUUCCUGAUCCCGGUAACCCCAAAUCUUUUCCGUCCCAGCUCCAGAUCCUUCCCUUCCGCUCUCCGCCCGCUGAUCCCAAAUCCCGGCAAUCCCGUUUUCCACACCCUUCCCAUCCCAUUAACCCCCAACAUCCCAGCACCCUGAAUCCCACCCCAGUCCCAAUCCCGAUCCCAUUGUUCCCAAUCCCAAUCUCACCAUUCCCAAUCCCUCAUUCCCAGAGCUGCAUUGAAGAUUCCCUGCCCCUGCUCCGUCUCCUGCUAGACCAUAAAAUCCCAUUAUUCCCAAUCCCAUUAUUCCCAGUCCCAUCAUUCCCACCAAUCCCAUUCCCAGAGCUGCAUCGAUGAUUCCCUUCCCCGGUCCGGCUCCUCCUGGUCCGUGAAAUCCCAUUAUUCCAAAUCCCAUUAUUCCCAAUCCCAUUAUUCCCAAUCCCAUUAUUCCCAAUCCCGUUAUUCCCAAUCCCAUUAUUCCCAAUCCCGUUAUUCCCAAUCCCGUUAUU
This is a long non-coding RNA of Junco hyemalis (dark-eyed junco), 2620 nucleotides long. Lineage: Eukaryota; Metazoa; Chordata; Aves; Passeriformes; Passerellidae. The record is from Ensembl.